UACGUAGGGGGCAAGCGUUGUCCGGAUUUAUUGGGCGUAAAGAGCGUGUAGGCGGUUAUACAGGUCCGCUGUGAAAACUGGAGGCUUAACCUCCAGACGUCGGUGGAAACCGCAUAACUAGAGUCCGGAAGAGGAGAGUGGAAUUCCUGGUGUAGCGGUGAAAUGCGCAGAUAUCAGGAAGAACACCCGUGGCGAAGGCGGCUCUCUGGGACGGUACUGACGCUGAGACGCGAAAGCGUGGGGAGCGAACAGG
RNAcentral lists this ribosomal RNA (253 nucleotides) under uncultured bacterium. Its description in RNAcentral is "partial 16S ribosomal RNA". It matches the Rfam family "Bacterial small subunit ribosomal RNA", at positions 524 to 776 of the family's 1533-position model. The record is from RNAcentral.